GGGAGGGACAUUCCAGUUUCCAGACCUUAUUCCCGCGAACCAAACGGACCCUAAACAUGUUAAUUUGCUUUUGGCGCCAAGGGCUUGGACAUGAAUCAUGAUUGGGGAGGAUAGUUUCCUUCCCGGCCUGACUUGCUCAUACUCGCAAAGUGGUAAUCGUAAGAAGAUGAAAUCUCUGAAGCUAGACGCUUUCGCCGGUAUUCGCUAUUCUUCAGAUUCAUCAACUCGGCGAAUCUGGUUGCCAGUUCACAAGACAAGAAGUUUACAGGGAAAUCCCUUCCUAAGCCUCUCUCCUCUAUCAGUUGGAUCUGCCAACUAUUCUCCCACUGCAUUUCCAUAUCGCAUGGUCUACCGAUCUAAACCAAGUUUCGAAAUCGUUUGUUUCAAUCAAUUGAGUUCGAUGUCUUCAGAUGACGAUGACCUCCAUCCCCAGAAAGAUUACGAUAGCAUUGCCUCAGAUAAUCCCUGUUCCAUGCCAACCUCCUGUCAUCAAGUAGCAGCUGCUCGAUUUCUUCAAAAUGCAGCAUGGGUUGGCGUUGCAACCAUCGUGAGCAAGAUUUUGGGACUUCUCAGGGAGGUUAUCCUAGCUGCUGUCUUCGGAGUUGGACCCGUGGCCACCGCAUUUAAGCAUGCUUCGGUGCUUCCCAUAUUUUCCGUAUCACUCAUAGGAGGUGUAAAUGGUCCCCUUCAUAUCGCUAUGAGUACCACUUUAAGUAAGCUUUCUAAGGAAAGUGGGAAGCGGCUUGUACAAACUACAUAUUUUGUUAUGCUCAUGGUAUGUUUCGAAUCUCUUUUACCAAAAUCCACUCACUUUUUGCUUCUCCCUCAUUUUACUUCUAGACUUUCUGUUUUUGUGCAGAUAGGAUGCAUUUUGGGUGCUCUCAUUUUCAUAUCUGCAGAGCUUAUUGUUUAUGCUACUGCUCCUGGUUUGUGGGUGGCAGCAGAAUGUCAAAUAACUAGGGAAAUAGCUAUCAGACAGCUGAAACUAAUGAUCCCUUGCAUAGUUUUUGCUGGUCCCAUUGGACUUGGCUAUGGAUGUCUAAGUGCAGAAGGUGAUAAUUUUAUUCCCUGUAUGAGCCCUGCUCUGUCAAGCAUUUCCAUAAUUCUUUCGUGCAUCAUGUAUGUUUGCAUGAAAAGAUCAAAUGCUUACUGUCUGGAUGAUGUUGUAUUUGGAGGAGUGGUGGUUGCUUGUGGAGCUUCAGUAGGUGCUUUUCUUCAGUGGCUUAUCCAGGUCAUUAUGUAUGAGAAAAUGGGAUAUGAUUUUGUUGCAAUUUCAUUCUCAAAUGUUUUGAAGGAUGAGGUUCUUCAUGAGUUUUUCAUGUUGAUGCUUCCGGCAAUAUUAAGUUCAAGCCUGGCACAAAUAGCAUCUUUUACGGAUCUUUAUUUUGCAUCGUUCAUUCCAGGUGCUGCUGCAGGUCUCUCUUAUGCACAUCUCCUGGCAAUGGCUCCAUUGGGCAUACUAUCUAGCAUAGUCAUACUACCUCUUUUACCUACUUUCUCAAGGCUGGCAAAGUGUUUGUCAUGGUCAUACUUAAUGGAUGAUCUAAAACGAGCAGUUCUGAUUUGCAUGAUAAUUGUCCUACCUAUUGCAUCGAUUAUGAUUGCGUUGGCAGAGCCAGUUACCAGUGUUUUAUUUCAAAGAUUCAAAUCUGAUUCCAGUGCAAGUGCUAUGGUUGCACCAUUGCUUCUUUGUUAUUCUAUUGGCUUGCCAUUUUGUAUCAUCCGGGAGUUGCUAGUUGCAGUCUUUUAUGCUCUAGGAGAUGGAGAACAGCCAUUUCUGAUCAGUGUGUCAGCAAUUAUUCUGAACGGUUUCCUGGAUUGGCUCUUUGUUUCAAGGUUUCACCUUGGAGCACAAGGAUUGCUGACUACAUUGUCAAGGCACUUUCAACAUCAUUUGUAACUACUUUGUCGACACUGGUACUUUUGCAAUGCCUCUUGAAGAAACUUCCAGCACGAUAUAUAUCUUGAAUGGGACCAGUCAUGGUGGAACAAACCCCUCUAUGGCACUUUUCCAGAAAUACCAUCAGUAGGCGGUAUUAUAAAUGAAGUAGGUUGUAUUUGCCAUAAGAACUGGGCAAGCCCUUAGAUAUGGUCAGUUGAACAGAAAUAAAUCUUAACAUUGUUUAUCACUUGCUUUGCCAACUGGCAGUCUUUUAAAGACAUGUUUAUGUACUAGUAAAACCCGUACUCAGUGUAAAAUUUGUACCCUGGGGCAAGUUGGGUUUGGUGAUGAGAUAAUGGGAGUGCAAUUUUUAGAAGUUCCAAAGGUUUGGAUCCCCUUCAGAGUUCAGAGAGGUCGGCAAAAUUGGUAAAACAGUGAACUAAUCCUAUGUAUGCAUCCACCCUUUUCCUUUUAUAAGGGUUUACAUUGGUGCAUAAAUGGUGGAUUGUUCAGUGAUUGCAGUGUCUUGGAGGUAUGCUCUUACAGUACUAGCGUCAUGGUUGUAUUACCAUUCCAUUUCAAAAUGUUUGUACCAUGUAUCUUUUUAUUUUCCUCUUUUCCUUUGCUAUCGAUUUUCCAUCAAGAUGAACUGCUGCAAGGUUUUUAUGCAGGACUAAAUGAUUCUAAAGAGCUGGUUAGUCCUCUUCUUCUCCUACUUCCUUGCUGCAUCGUCGCAGGCUCUCUUUCAUCUGUUGCACAUAAG
Non-coding RNA from Nelumbo nucifera (sacred lotus), 2645 nucleotides. The record is from RefSeq and is a predicted model, not a curated record. Lineage: Eukaryota; Viridiplantae; Streptophyta; Magnoliopsida; Proteales; Nelumbonaceae.